AUCCAGCUGACAGGUUCCAAACAGGACGAAAUGGCACCCGUCCUGGAU
Molecule: non-coding RNA, 48 nt
Filed under: Schistosoma mattheei
Lineage: Eukaryota; Metazoa; Platyhelminthes; Trematoda; Strigeidida; Schistosomatidae
Source: RNAcentral